UCUCUUAUCGACGUCAGUGAUUGCACUUGAGAGGCCGAUAACUCGCCCAUCAGUCCGCGGACGACCGCCAAUGAUGAAAGACUCAAUCACGGUAAUGCUGCUCCUUGCAGCUGGCCUCAGCUGCACUUCUGGUCACAUUGGGUUCGGCGAGGGUGGACAGGAAUGGGGCUACGUGGACGUGCGCGAGGGUGCGCACAUGUUCUACUGGCUGUACUACGUCAACGGAGGGAAUGAGCCUGCAGGAAAGCCUCUCGUUAUCUGGCUGCAGGGUGGGCCUGGGGCGUCAUCCACCUCGUUUGGCAACUUCGAGGAGCUGGGCCCGCUCGACACGGACCUCAAGAAGCGCGAGAAGUCCUGGGUGAACCACGUGAAUAUCAUGUUUGUUGACAAUCCUGUGGGUACCGGGUUCAGUCGCGUGGACCACUCCCGAUACUUAGCUCAAAACAACCAACAGAUAUCUGCUGAUCUCGUGAAACUGUAUAUCGGUUUCCUUGAGCAAAACCCCAAGUUCAGAGGAGUUCCGUUGUACAUAUUUUGCGAAUCGUACGGCGGGAAGAUGACAGCUGAGUUUGCGUAUGAGUUAUACAAGGAGAAGGAGAGAUCUAACAACAAAGACAUAAAUAUAAAAGGUAUCGCUGUUGGGGAUGGAUGGAUAUCGGGGCUUGACUCUACCAUCACUUGGGCCCCAUUUUUGAAACAAUAUGGACUGCUGAACAACAAUGGUUACAAGUCUGUGGACGCUGUGGCUCAGCGAUGCCGACGUGCCGUUGAGGCGGGGCAGUGGAAUAAAGCGACGGACGAGUGGCGCAACGCGGAGACGGCAGUCAUGUGGGCGGUGCCGGGCUUCACGGGUGACAACUUCUACAACAUUUAUGGCGGUCAACUGCACCCGAACAGAACUGGUGGCCAGUUCACUACUCUUAAGGCGACUGCUAAGACGCAAGGAAUGCAGUCAAAAUUGCAAGGAGUGCCGCUGUCACAACAAGCGUAUGCUUUGCACGCCAGUUCCAGGAGCGUCUCUAGCAUCAUGAAAAUCGUUCGCAAAGCGCUCGGCCUUCCCUGGUACGUACGGCACGAGGCUCAGAGCAACGCUGUCUUCAAGGCACUUGAAGGGGACUUUAUGAAACCAGUCGUGGACAUCGUGGAGAAGCUUCUUUCUGAGACUACCAUCGAAGUGACUGUUUUCAAUGGCGAGUGGGAUCUGAUCGUCGACGUCAUUGGUACCCUCGAUUGGAUAAAUCGCCUGCAGUGGGCAGGAGCAGACUCUUGGAAGGCAGCUCCCCGUAAGCCGCUCCUCGUCAAUGGGGUGGACAAUGGAUACUCCCAAAGUUGGGGUAACUUUACAUUUUACUCCAUCAGCCAAGCGGGGCACAUGUCUGAACUUCUUCGGUCUUCGGGGUAUCCCUCCGAAGUUCACCAUGUCACGACCAAGGAUGGCUAUGUUCUCGAGCUGGACAGAAUACCUCGGCCUGGACGUCCAGUCGUAUACCUUGCCAACCAGAUCUACGGUUCAGCUGUCGCCUACCUGGUCCUCGGCAAAGGAAGAGCGUUAGGUUUUCUUCUUUACGAUGCUGGUUUCGAUGUCUGGAUGGGGAAUUUCCGAGGAACUCCGGUCUCUUGUCGUCACAUCCACCUGAACAGCACGGAUGACAGAUUCUGGAAAUUUGGCUGGCAGGAAAAUGGCGAGUUGGACAAUCCCGCCCUGAUCGACUACGUGCUAAAGCAGUCGGGUCAGCAGCAGCUUGUGUUUGCUGGCCACUCCAUGGGGGGCACCACAUUCUUUGUCACGGCGGCUGCACGACCAGACCUCCUCCCGAAGAUUAGCGCUGCCUUCCUCUUCGCGCCUGCAGUGUUCAUGACCCACACCAAGGAUGCCCAUCUCCUCGCACUGCAGUCAAUCGCCAACGAGACACUGAAAGCUGCAGACGAUUUUAAGCUUCAUAAUAAGCCUACUCAGCUCCUUCAGAAACUUGCUGAUAAAAUGUGUGAGGGAAGAGUACUUCAAAAAGCACCCAACUUCCAGAAGAUGUGCUUGGCAGUUGGGCCCGGCACUCUACAUAAUUUUCGCUAUGAUUCCAACUUUUUCUUCCCAAAUGGCGCGUCGUUGUGGCAAAUUCUUCAUUUUGCGCAGCUAUGUGACCCUAAAUGGCCUGGAUUUCGGAAGUUUAACUACGGAUCCGCGGAAGAGAACAGAGUCCGUUAUGGGACUAGUGCGCCACCAGACUUCAAUAUAAAACUCGUGAAGAAUCCUGUGUUUUUGUACAAUGGUUACGGCGAUACUACAAGCACGCUCAAGGAUCAGCUGCUGCUCCAGGCAACACUGCCGAACGUGAAACGGUUCUAUUAUUCAGAGAAUACGAACUUUGGUCAUAAUGACUUCGUUCAUUGUCCAACUGCUGCCACGGAUGUGUGGAACACUGUCAUACAUGAUAUCAAGAAACAUUUUUCAAAAUAGCAAGCUAUCUGCAUCAUUGAUGUUAAAAGGAUUUCACAAUAAAUCUGAUACCGUACUGGAUCAGUGCAGCAUACACCGUCAUGAUAUUAACACCAGCGAUCCUCGUGUUUUUGGUCCGUUUCACGCCGAUUGCAGAUGCUAGGAACCUUCUGGCCCCUUCGCGCCUUGUGGCGGAAAUUCCGAACAUGCGUGGCUGUCCCGGAGUCCUAAACAACGCGGUAACGUUUUUUGGACCUGCAUCGAGUUCCUUACGCGGCCGAGGAAACUACACCUUCAGUGCUACCUUCAACGUUAGCCGUCCCGCAAAGCGGAUCUCUGAGAUUAGGGUAGAGAUGACCCGCUGCCGGGACGUCGUUUCCAGCAAUACUUGUGAGAAAUACGGGAACUGGCGUCUUCAGACUGAACCUUGCAAGGUUUGGAUGGACCCCGUGGCACCGUGGGGUGGACUCAUCAAGGGAAUAGAAGAAGAUUAUAGAUGCCCAACAAAAUCGGGUACAUAUCACAUAAGGAAUGCUGUACUUGACAUGAAAAGUUUACAGGCCCUGAACCUUCCGCUAGAAGGUGCUGUAUGGCAGACAAAGGCGUUCUUCUUGGAACCCUCCGGUGAUUUGCAUUACUGCUUCGAGGGAACAUUUAUUUUCAGAAGGGUGCGCGCGUAAGGUCUAGCUAGAUGUGUGGCAACAAUCUAGCAUCGCCAAAAUUAGCAAAAUUAGCAGCAUCAGGUUUUAUAGGUGAGAAUUUUGUGGACUCGCCAGCACCCGUGUGGAAAGCAAGUCUGUAAAUAUUACGUAUUUUUUGCCGUUUUCCAACAGCAAGUUAACAGUCAACUUAGACCAAAAAUAUCACGAGAUGACAGCUACUGUCUCUUGGAGCCUCCACUGCUGCCGCCUGACUGGAAGGGGACGGCUCCUUCAGUGUGGGAUCGCUGUGGCCUGGUAGAUACCGCAUCAGACCGAGACGCUGAGGUUCGUGAGUUCGACUCCGUACCGCAGCGUCUGGACCGCACAGUUUUUCUCUAGCCCUCUCUUUCGGUGAACAUAAAUUUGACGUAUUCUUAGUGUAAAUCUGCACACCUCCACUACCUUAAAAACUUAAAAACUACAGCAGUUCACCGCCAAAUAGGUUUACCGUAUCUCUGUCGUUAUUUUGACGUAUUUGGACGUUUUUUUGGUCUACGUUCACUGUUAAUUUGCUGUUGGAAAACGGCAAAAACACGUCAUAUUUACAGACUUGCUUUUCACACGGGCAGGUCUGCAACAUCCCUUGCCGUGUGGAACAAAAGCGAGUAAAUGACGGUUAUUUUGCUGUUAAUCGCACGACAAAUUAACACUUAAAUACUAACAAAUCUACAAUGAACGACAAACAUACAACCAGUGUAUACAACAAACGCGCUUUUCAUAAAGUGACGAGUAAUGUUGUCGUUUUCCUGUUGUUAAACGGACCACUUUCACAUUGAAUAUACGACAAAUUUAUUUCAA
Molecule: RNA transcript, 3933 nt
Organism: Frankliniella occidentalis (western flower thrips)
Lineage: Eukaryota; Metazoa; Arthropoda; Insecta; Thysanoptera; Thripidae
Exons: 19
Source: RefSeq, a predicted model, not a curated record